RNAcentral lists this unclassified non-coding RNA (179 nucleotides) under uncultured fungus. RNAcentral describes it as "sequence contains ITS2". Lineage: Eukaryota; Fungi. The record is from RNAcentral.
CAACCCUUAAGCCUAGCUUAGUGUUGGGAAUCUACUAUCCGGGCGGAGCUACCCUGUAGCGCCUACCCUGUAGUUCCUGAAAAUUAACGGCGGGUCUAUGGUAUCCUCUGAGCGUAGUAACUUUAUCUCGCUUCUGUUAGGUGCUGUAGCCCUUGCCGCUAAACCCCCUAUUUUCUAAU